This is a long non-coding RNA of Oncorhynchus kisutch (coho salmon), 2779 nucleotides long. RefSeq lists it as uncharacterized. The record is from RefSeq and is a predicted model, not a curated record. NCBI's taxonomy places the organism in Eukaryota, Metazoa, Chordata, Actinopteri, Salmoniformes, Salmonidae. The transcript is spliced from 5 exons.
CGUACGGGAGAUGUAGCGAUGAGACAUGACAGUAACUACUAAUAAUUGGAUACCACAAAAUUGGGGAGAAAAGGGGGGGAAAAAAACAUGUUUUUGCAACAACAACUGAAUGUCUAAAACUUCAGGCAGGCUGGCUGGCUAGCUAUAAUUUCAAUGCUACCUAAGCCUUAGCUGCGCUAGCUCGCGAAUCGCAUGAACAUAUUUGCAAAGCUCACAAAGCUCAUUUGUCCUAGGACAACCCUGUAAAAACUUUGCUAAUAUCUACAACAUAUCAGCUUUCCAACAGCACAGAUAUUACUUUUGAAUACCCUUUGAAAUAUGAAUAUUUCAUCUAAGCCUAUGAUGUAGAAAUGAACAGCUUCAGAUAUAAACCAGGAACGUUAACGUUAGGACUAUGGCACUGUUUGAACAGGAAUCGCAGUCCCAUCCAUGGUCUCUAUUUUCAAAAACCGUCGUCUUGCAAAAUGGAAACUAUGCAGAGGAGCCUUGAGUGGGCUAGGGGGAGGCUGAUAAAUGUUGGGUUUACGGUUGUUUUCAUUUUUUCACUCUUUGCUCUCCUGCUGCCCAUUCUAUUCGUUCUUUUUAUGUCUUGGCUUUAAAAUCCAAUAUUAUAAAAAUGUUAAUUGGCCACAAUUUGUGACAGUUACUAUAAUGUAAAAGUGUUUUUGGAAUGAGAGGGGUGGGCUGUGUCACAAUACAUUAGGUACCCUAAACACAAUGUAUUAUUCUUACAGCCAGUUCCAGUUACUGGGCUUCUCGGACUUGGAGAGGAGCUAGAGGUGCACCUUGUUAUGCCAUCACUCAAGAGCAACUGAGGUUUCUGAUAUCCUGUGCUUUCAGUGUGUCUCAGAUGGCAGAUAUUCUACAUGUGUCCUGAUCGACAGUCAAACGUUGUCUAAGACACUUCAAUCUGUCACAUGCACCAUUAUAUUCUGACAUGUCAGACUUGGCUCUGGAUGAAAAGAUUAAGGACUGGUGGCUGGGAACGACAAACGUGGAGCGGAGGCUGUUCGAUCACAAUUAAGAGCUCUGGGUGCAGAGACGCAAACUCGUUAUGGCACCUUGAUGGAAACCACAAACUGAUAAGCAACAAUCGCAGCAGUACAGUAAUGGAUUGCUUCGUGAAUGCUGUUUCCAGAUAUGGCGUUCCCUCCAGAGUUAGGACGGACCAUGGAGGAGAAAACAACACUGUCUGCUUGUUGAAUACUACUUCUACAAACAAGGCUACACUUGUGGCAGCACCUAUUCCUGUGCCCCCCCCCCCCAUCUUCUGCACCACUUCCUGCGGCCUCCCCUCCACCAUUCCCUGAGGCUUAUUGUCCACCUUCGCCACACUCUUCUGUUGAUGUUGAGGACAAUGAGUAAGUCCUCCCUGUAAAUAAUUCAAUGUCUUGUUAUUACAGAUGAAAUGUGGGAAGUAUCUGAGCUUUGCUAUUCUGAAUGUUUUUUGUUGUUGUGUUGACCUCCAAACACUGCUGAAGUUAAUGAGAUGCCAACCAAGUUAAUGUGGUGAUUGACAACAUUUAUGAUUGUGCAAUGAGAGGCUUUAAGAGAGCCAGCUUUAGUCCAGAGGCAAAAAUAGACAUGGUUUUUUGGGAUGCUGACAGAAAAGGGGCAGCUGAGGGUGGUCCCUCGAGAGGGUGGUCCUCUCCUGCUGCUAAUGAGUGCCAUCCAUUCCUCUGCAAUAUUUGAGGGACCUGAUUGGCAAAAAUGCCUUUCUUGCAACUCUCACGGUGAGUUACACUUUAACACCAACAAAGACACAUUUGUUUAUGGCAAUAUAUAUGACUUGAGUAAGACAUUUGAUUUUUGUAUGUAAUGUGUCCUUUAUUUACUGUUUGUCUUCUGUGUGAUGGCACUCUAUGAUGGCGUAUACAAGCAGGUUGGCCGCUUGAUUGCUGUCUGUCUGGUACAUGGGGGUGUAGAGACACAUUUUUUCAGAGGCUAUACAGGCAAGUGUGUGGCCAACAACCUCCUGUGCCAGAACUGAAAGAAAUUGCGGAAUAUGACUUCAGAGAGAAGUUGGAGAAGGUAAGUACUUUAUACUGUGAUGAAUGUUAUGAUACUGUUCAUUUGCACUAAGUUUGAAAAAAAAAUGGUAUUGGUUCAUGAAUACUUUUCCACAUGGAUUUGGUUUCCUUUUGUUGGCAGUCAAUCUUUUUUAUAAUCAGUGAUAAUCAGUUUAUUGUUUUGCUAAUUUGUCCUAAAACACAGUUCAAUAAACAAUCUAAAAUCCAGUUAGCAUAAACUGUUGAUGAGGCACCGGAAGCGGUCAUGUUGGGUCCAGUGCAAUACAUUCGUACAUUGGAGAGGGAUGCCCUGGUGGAGUCAACCACACAGUUUUACUUAGAAAGCAGGAUACGGGAUGCUCUUGAGCAGUGAGUUUCCAUAUGUCUAAUUAAUCUCAAGUUUAGUUAAAUUCUUCAGGGCAAAUUAAUGUACUUUUUUUAACUUUAUAGAUUCAAAGAGGGUCUGAAGUGUCUAGGUCUCCUGCCUUAUAUGAAUAGACACUCAAGCCUCUUCGUCUACGCUGAGAAACCUCUUUUGGCCAAAGACAUAGCUUCUCUCUUCAAAGAAGAGCACUCCCCACCUGGCACCAAUCAAAGAGCAAUAGAGAAACGAGUCAUAUGUUUCUGGAGGGACUGGCUUCUGGAGGUGGAAGGGGGGAACACAUACCCUUUAACCAUGGGGAAGGUUUUCAUUUUCACUUUGGGGGCUUCAGCAUUCCUAGGCUGGUAUUGCCAGUGGAGCCACAGCUACAGUUCUCUCUGCUACCGCA